GAUGAAGAACGCAGCGAAAUGCGAUAAGUAAUGUGAAUUGCAGAAUUCAGUGAAUCAUCGAAUCUUUGAACGCACAUUGCGCCCCUUGGUAUUCCGGGGGGCAUGCCUGUUCGAGCGUCAUUUCAACCCUCAAGCUCUGCUUGGUAUUGGGCACCGUCCUUUGCGGGCGCGCCUCAAAGACCUCGGCGGUGGCGUCUUGCCUCAAGCGUAGUAGAAUACACCUCGCUUCGGAGCGUAAGGCGUCGCCCGCCGGACGAACCUUCUGAACUUUUCUCAAGGUUGACCUCGGAUCAGGUAUGGAUACCCGCUGAACUUAAGCAUAUCAAUAAGCGGAGGA
Molecule: unclassified non-coding RNA, 337 nt
Filed under: soil metagenome
Description: partial contains 5.8S ribosomal RNA, internal transcribed spacer 2, and large subunit ribosomal RNA
Rfam family: 5.8S ribosomal RNA (bases 1-120)
Source: RNAcentral